Pelobates cultripes (western spadefoot toad) is the source of this 201-nucleotide non-coding RNA. The record is from the annotation of a GenBank genome assembly. Lineage: Eukaryota; Metazoa; Chordata; Amphibia; Anura; Pelobatidae.
GUGACAGAGUGAGAGAGGGGGUGACUAGUGACCGAGUGAGGGAGGGAGUGGGUGACUAGUGACAGAGUGAGGAAGGGGGUGACACAGUGAUAGUCACCCCAUUCCUCCCUCUGUCACUAAUCACCACCUCCCUCACUCUCACUAGUCACCCCUUCCCUCCCUCACUCUGUCACUAGUCACACCCUCCCUCUCUCUGUCACU